This 497-nucleotide ribosomal RNA is filed under the name uncultured bacterium. Its description in RNAcentral is "partial 16S ribosomal RNA". It matches the Rfam family "Bacterial small subunit ribosomal RNA", at positions 28 to 507 of the family's 1533-position model. The record is from RNAcentral.
GAUGAACGCUGGCGGCGUGCCUAAUACAUGCAAGUCGAGCGAACGGACGGGAAGCUUGCUUCUCUGAUGUUAGCGGCAGGCGGGUGAGUAACACGUGGAUAACCUACCUAUAAGACUGGGAUAACUUCGGGAAACCGGUGCUAAUACCUGCUAAUAUUUUGAACCACAUGGUUCAAAACUGAAAGACGGCCUUGCUGUCACUUAUAGAUUGAUCCGCGCUGCAUUAGCUAGUUGGUAAGGUAACGGCCUACCAAGGCAACGAUGCAUAGCCGACCUGAGAGGACGACCGGCCACACUGGAACUGAGACACGGUCCAGACUCCUACGGGAGGCAGCAGUAGGGAAUCUUGCACAAUGGGCGAAAGCCUGACGGAGCAACGCCGCGUGAGUGAAGAAGGUCUUCGGAUCGUAAAGCUCUGUUAUUAGGAAAGAACAUAUGUGUAAGUAACUGUGCACAGCUUGACGGUACCGAAUCAGAAAGCCACGGCUAACUACGUG